GAUGAACGCUAGCUACAGGCUUAACACAUGCCAGUCGAGGGGAAACGACAUCGAAAGCUUGCUUUUGAUGGGCGUCGACCGGCGCACGGGUGAGUAACGCGUAUCCAACCUGCCCAUCACUUGGGAAUAACCUUGCGAAAGUAAGACUAAUACCCAAUGACAUCCCACGAAGACAUCUGAAUGGGAUUAAAGAUUUAUCGGUGAUGGAUGGGGAUGCGUCUGAUUAGCUUGUUGGCGGGGUAACGGCCCACCAAGGCAACGAUCAGUAGGGGUUCUGAGAGGAAGGUCCCCCACAUUGGAACUGAGACACGGUCCAAACUCCUACGGGAGGCAGCAGUGAGGAAUAUUGGUCAAUGGGCGAGAGCCUGAACCAGCCAAGUAGCGUGCAGGAUGACGGCCCUAUGGGUUGUAAACUGCUUUUAUAAGGGAAUAAAGUGGGUCUCGUGAGACUUUUUGCAUGUACCUUAUGAAUAAGGACCGGCUAAUUCCGUG
Molecule: ribosomal RNA, 492 nt
Filed under: uncultured bacterium
Lineage: Bacteria
Description: partial 16S ribosomal RNA
Rfam family: Bacterial small subunit ribosomal RNA
Source: RNAcentral